Molecule: Y RNA, 114 nt
Filed under: Prolemur simus (greater bamboo lemur)
Lineage: Eukaryota; Metazoa; Chordata; Mammalia; Primates; Lemuridae
Description: Y RNA (ENSPSMG00000012752.1)
Rfam family: Y RNA
About the family: Y RNAs are components of the Ro ribonucleoprotein particle (Ro RNP), in association with Ro60 and La proteins.
Source: Rfam by way of RNAcentral
GGCUGGUCCGAAGAUAGUGAGUUACCUUACUUGAUUAUUCAUAGUCAGUUACAGAUCAAACUCCUUGUUCUACUAAUUUCCCCCUUUCUCACUACUGUACUUGACUAGUCUUCA